This is a small nucleolar RNA of Arabis alpina (gray rockcress), 107 nucleotides long. It matches the Rfam family "Plant small nucleolar RNA R71". From Rfam's summary of the family: R71 is a member of the C/D box family of snoRNAs containing the C (UGAUGA) and D (CUGA) box motifs. Multiple nearly identical copies of this snoRNA have been identified in Arabidopsis, and it is thought to function as a 2'-O-ribose methylation guide for 18S ribosomal RNA. The record is from Rfam. NCBI's taxonomy places the organism in Eukaryota, Viridiplantae, Streptophyta, Magnoliopsida, Brassicales, Brassicaceae.
AAUCCGUGAUGAGGACAAUCUCUCUGAUAUCCUUUGAACCUUUCCCACACAGCCUUGAACGCUUCUGUUGGACCCUGAAUGAACGUGGAGAUCUUAGCUCGUAGAUC